This 849-nucleotide long non-coding RNA is filed under the name Homo sapiens (human). Its description in RNAcentral is "HSALNT0384962". The record is from RNAcentral. Lineage: Eukaryota; Metazoa; Chordata; Mammalia; Primates; Hominidae.
ACGGUUCCACGUCACCGACCCUCCGCCUCUUGGGUUCGGGAGGUGGUUCCAUCUCAGCCGCCCUCUGCCUCUUGGGUUUGCGUGGUUUUUCUGCCUCAGCCUCCUGAGUAGCUAAGGGAGGUGUCUUGAGAUUAUCAUCCGCUGAGGGUGGAAGCGGCCCCCGCAGACGCUCCCCGCAGACGCUCGGCAGGUGUCUUGAUAUUAUCAUCUGCUGAGGGUGGAGCUGAGGGUGGAAAGGGAGUGAGCUGACGCUCGGAAGGUGUCUUGAGAUUAUCAUCUGCUGAGGGUGGAAGCGGCCCCCGCAGACGCUCGGCAGGUGUCUUGAUAUUAUCAUCUGCUGAGGGUGGAGCUGAGGGUGGAAGGGGAGUGAGCUGACGCUCGGAAGGUGUCUUGAGAUUAUCAUCCGCUGAGGGUGGAAGCGGCCCCCGCAGACGCUCGGCAGGUGUCUUGAGAUUAUCAUCUGCUGAGGGUGGAAGCGGCCCCCGCAGACGCUCGGCAGGUAUCUUGAUAUUAUCAUCUGCUGAGGGUGGAGCUGAGGGUGGAAGGGGAGUGAGCUGACGCUCGGAAGGUGUCUUGAGAUCAUCCGCUGAGGGUGGAAGGCAGGUGUCUUGAUAUUAUCAUCUGCUGAGGGUGGAAGGGCAGUGAGCUGACGCUCGGAAGGUGUCUUGAGAUUAUCAUCCGCUGAGGGUGGAAGGGGAGUGAGCAGACACUCAGGAGGUGUCUUGAGAUUAUCAUCCGCUGAGGGUGGAAGGGGAGUGAGCACACACUCGGGAGGUGUCUUGAGAUUAUCAUCCGCUGAGGGUGGAAGGGGAGUGAGCAGACACUCGGGAGGUGUCUUGAGGCUCAGGG